This 1435-nucleotide ribosomal RNA is filed under the name uncultured bacterium. Its description in RNAcentral is "bacterial SSU rRNA". It matches the Rfam family "Bacterial small subunit ribosomal RNA". The record is from RNAcentral.
AGAGUUUGAUCCUGGCUCAGGAUGAACGCUAGCGACGUGGAUAAGGCAUGCAAGUCGAACGCUCCAGUUUAUGGAGAGUGGCAAACGGGUGAGUAACACGUUGGUAACCUACCUUGAAGUUGGGGAUAACUUUGUGAAAACGAAGCUAAUACCAAAUAGUCCCGCAAGGGUAAAGAUUUAUCGCUUCAGGAGGGGCCGGCGCCCUAUCAGCUUGUUGGUGAGGUAAUGGCUCACCAAGGCUAUGACGGUUAGGAGGCUCGAGAGGGUAUUCUCCCACAUUGGCACUGAGACACUGGCCAAACUCCUACGGGAGGCUGCAGUCGAGAAUCUUCGUCAAUGCGCGAAAGCGUGAACGAGCGACGCCGCGUGAAUGAUGAAGCCCUUCGGGGUGUAAAAUUCUUUUAUUAGGGAUAAAACUUUGAUAGUACCUGAUGAAUAAGAGGUUGCUAACUCUGUGCCAGCAGCAGCGGUAAUACAGAGACCUCAAGCGUUAUCCGGAUUUAUUGGGCGUAAAGCGUCUGUAGGUGGAAUAAAUAGUCAGAUGUUAAAUUUUAGGGCUUAACCUUAAAACUGCAUUUGAAACGUUUGUUCUAGAGGAUGGGAGAGGCAAGUAGAACUCAUAGUGUAGCAGUAAAAUGCGUUGAUAUUAUAAGGAAUACCAAAGGCGAAGGCAUCUUGCUGGACCAUUCCUGACACUGAGAGACGAAAGCGUGGGUAGCGAAUGGGAUUAGAUACCCCAGUAGUCCACGCCGUAAACGAUGGAUAUUAGGCAUUAGGAGUAUCGACCCUCUUAGUGCCGAAGCUAACGCGUUAAAUAUCCCGCCUGGGAAGUACGGCCGCAAGGCUAAAACUCAAAGGAAUAGACGGGGACCUGCACAAGCGGUGGAACAUGUGGUUUAAUUCGACGAUAAACGAGGAACCUUACCCAGGCUAGAAGCCAUUCGAAUUCCUGUGAAAGCGGGGCGUGCCGCAAAGGAGCAAAUGGACAGGUGCUGCAUGGUUGCCGUCAGCUCGUGCCGUGAGGUGUUCGGUUAAGUCCAGCAACGAGCGCAACCCUUGUCGAAUGUUGUAUUUUCUCAUUCGAUACUGCCCGAGUUAAUUGGGAGGAAGGUGGGGAUGACGUCAAAUCAGCAUGGCCCUAGACGCCUGGGGCUACACACAUGUUACAAUGGUAGAUUACAAAGGGUUGCCAAGCCGAAAGGUGGAGCUAAUCCCAUCAAAGUCUUUCUCAGUUCGGAUUGAGGGCUGCAACUCGCCCUCAUGAAGCCGGAAUCGCUAGUAAUCGUGAAUCAGCUAUGUCACGGUGAAUACGUUCUCAGGUCUUGUACUCACCGCCCGUCACAUCAAGAGAGUCGGUAAUACCCGAAGCUCCUCGUUUAAUAGGGGGAACCACGGUAGGAUCGGCAAUAAGGAUGAAGUCGUAACAAGGUAGCCG